UACAGAGGGUGCGAGCGUUAAUCGGAAUUACUGGGCGUAAAGCGCACGUAGGUGGCGACGUAAGUCGGGUGUGAAAGCCCCGGGCUCAACCUGGGAAUUGCAUUCGAGACUGCAUUGCUGGAGUACGGAAGAGGAGGGCGGAAUUCCCGGUGUAGCGGUGAAAUGCGUAGAUAUCGGGAGGAACAUCAGUGGCGAAGGCAGCCUCCUGGGCCAACACUGACGCUCAUGCACGAAAGCGUGGGGAGCAAACAGG
Molecule: ribosomal RNA, 253 nt
Filed under: uncultured bacterium
Lineage: Bacteria
Description: partial 16S ribosomal RNA
Rfam family: Bacterial small subunit ribosomal RNA
Source: RNAcentral